Equus caballus (horse) is the source of this 7131-nucleotide non-coding RNA. The record is from RefSeq and is a predicted model, not a curated record. NCBI's taxonomy places the organism in Eukaryota, Metazoa, Chordata, Mammalia, Perissodactyla, Equidae.
AGGUGAUUUAUAAAAAGGAUGUUAUUUCCUACAGAGUAGGAAGCUGGAAGAUCCUUUUAGAUAUUAUUUACUCAUUAGACAGACCGAUAAAGAAACUAAAGCCCAGAGCAGGGCAGUAGCUGCUGGAGGGCCCAGAGCCACGUGGUAGGAGAGCUGGGAGAGAGGCCUGGGUACUGAGCGAGCUGCUGUGUUUGGGCUGCUCUGCACAUCCCCGUGUUUCUGUAUUCCUCCAUGCUCACGGAGUCUUCCUCAGACUUCAGUCUCCAGAUGUGCCAUAGUUUAAUUUGGGGGUCCUCAAGUCAAAAUUUCAAGAACUGAAGAAUACGGAUCAUGAGACCUGCUGAAUAACAUCGAAGGAACUUCUGAACACGCCACCAUUUAAGCGGAGAGGGUCCCUCCCUUCCGCUGCAAUCAGGCUAUUACAGGCUCGCUCUGCCUCUUACCCGCUGGGCGCAGGCCAAGCCCAGAGCCCGGAGCUCCUACUAUGACUUGGCCGAGCAGCAAGCUAUUCAUCCACACGUCCAAGGCCACUUUUGUGCGAACAGCUUCGCAUCACCUGCCCCUGGAGACUUCGGAUCACCCCUCUGCUCCCCCGCCCUCCCCUGCUCCAGCCCCUCUCUGGCUGUGCAGGAGCCAAAGGGGAUUUGUGAUAACAGAGUCACAGGCACAGGCCCAACCCAGGCCCGAGGAGCUUGACCUGAGGCAAGAGCAUAGCCCAGAACAACACACGCCACUCCCCAGCAAGGAGGGGUGGCCUGGCACUCAAAUCGAAAACUCCUGGGCUUUUGAUGGAAGCCAUAAAACAAAGGUAGUAUUCCAGAAGGAAUCUCAGAUCCUUGUUCAUACUGGAGCCCAAGUGACCAUCAAAACAAGAGGCUGCUUCUCCAUAGGCAGUUCCGAGGAUCAAGGUUCCUGUUAAUUCUGGAUUUGGAAAAACAUACCUGGGAAGGAGGCAGGCACUCCCACUGCAUUACCUCUGAGAAAGACACAGUAAGUAGAUUAACAGCAAACCAGGUCAGGCCGGGGGAGCCUUUAUAUGGCUAAGAAAUUAAACUCUUCGGCUUUCCAGCAAGUGAAUUAUUUGAAUGGUAGUAUGAAAUCCACAAGUUUUCUAUUUGUAAAAAUGGCUCAUGUAGGACCUUUUUUGGGCAUCUGAGGAGCACCCCUAGCAUGGGGGUGUAGAUACUAAAGCUACAGCUUUCCAAACAUAUUUGGGGCAAGGCUCUUUUCUCCUAGCUUCAAGUUUUCCAUCUUUAAAUGAAUACUUUAGAUUUCUUGGACAGCCUUACAAAUCUUUGUGAAUUUGUGCUGCCAUAGAUUUCUAAAUGUCAUUAAAAUGAUUAAGCCCCUUACUGAAAAGAAAUUCCUUGCCUUCUGACCACUUCUUGCAUUGUAACCCCAUAAGGUUGACAGCAUGAGAGGCCAAUUCUGUUUUGGCUUCCAAUUUUCUUACAAUGUGUGUGUGUGUGUGCGCGCGUGUGCAUGCAUCUGCGUGGGUGUUUAUAUUUUGGUGGUGAGAGAGUUAUUUUCCAAUAGAAAGUCUUUGCCUUAUCACUACUUUGUUGAUUUCCCCCUCGUAACCAGGAAGCUUAGAGCUGAAUUUAGUGUCCAGACAAGCCCGCCCUGGGUAUGUUGCAAUUAUCUUUCGGUGAUUCUUCAUCUUUUCUGAUUCAGAGAUUUCUAUGGGAAUUUGAUGGAAACAAGGGGGAAUGCCCCAGGAAGCAUCCAUAGAUUCCCACAAAACAUGCAUAGAGAGUGGAUGCUCAUCGCUUCUUUUGGAGAUCCUCAACUACCAUGUUUUAUGUUUUAUUUGUAUUACUUUCUGGUGUCCAAAAUGCUGAUGUACCUGAGGACUUCGAGACACAGAGGAGAUGUGGCCAAGUGUUGGAAGGGUUUGUUCGUUUGUUUGAAUGCAAAGGGAAGAGAUAGUCAAUAGUGUCUGAGGAAGAGCAUUUCUCUGGGAACGUGUCACAACUUCAUCCUGCAGUCAAGGGGGAAAGUGCUAGACCAAACUGAAGCCCUGGUUUUAUCACUAGCCAGUUCUGAACUUAAACCUGUCCUCACUUCAGUGAGCCUCCGUCACCUUAACUGUCACCUGAGAACACUGCACAGGGUGGUGGGAGAUUGAGAGACUGGAGAAGUGCUGUCUGCACUGUGAAGUGUGGCGCCGAGAAGAGGAUUCAGUCAGGCUGCUUCCUCAGGCUCCUCUGUGAUCAGCACUCAGAUUAAACCCUGACCUGCAGGGACAUGCAGAGGCCAUCACCUCACCUUGUGCAGCAAUUGCUACUUGCUGAUAAUGCAACAGUCCCGUGCCUCCGGGAAAAAGAGGAAUCUUGAGGAAGGCUCUAAGACUUCUAAGGCUUGAAAUGAGCAUGUAGAAACUGCCCGGCUAAUGAGGCCAUGGGCCAUUCCUCCGGGGUGCCCACGAGAGAUGCUUUUAUCUACCACAGAUCCUCUCUCUCCCGUCCUCCACACGUGCACACUUAGCCCCCGCUUUGAGCUGCAAUGCAAGGACCAGCCCCUCUCAAGGCCUUCCCUGACUGUGUUCUGUUCUUGUCUCUAGGCCACAGGAUUCUCGUCCAUCUGAUUCCAGUAGCAUCUACCACUCGUUCUGCUCAUCUGUUACUAAAGUUAAAUUAAAUAGUUUAUGGAGUACUCACUAUGUGGAAGGCUUUACGCUGAUCAUAAUCCUAUAGUGCCUUGAUUAAUUUUUCCAGAUUGUUCAUCUCUGUACGUAUCAUACCCCCAAUGGGAUCACUUGUGCUGCAUGCAUCCUUCCUGACAUCUAGCACACGGAGUUGAGAGCUAAAGUCCAUGUACGAGCUAACCCACUUCCUGCUAGAACUCUGGUAUAACACGGGAGUGAGUCGAACACAUAAUUAUUAAAGUUAUAUGUGCUCAAUUUAAAAAGUUGGGAAAUAUAUACAAGUAUAAAUUUACCCAUAAUCCUGUCAUCCAGAGAUAACUGCUUUUAAUAUUUUGGUCUAUUUCAUUUUAACCUUCUUUAAUCUAUGUCUCUAUUUACCUAAUUUGGAACAUUCUGUAUUCAAACUUUUAUACUCUACAUUUUCCCAUGCCAUUAAAAUUUUUGAAAACAUAGUUUAAAUGGCUGUGUAAUACUCCAUUAUAUUGAUGAACCAUCAUUUAUUUAUCAAUUUCCUUAUUAGACGUGUAGGCUGCUGUCAAUUUUUUCAUUAUUACAAAAAUUAUUACAAUGAGCAGUUUUUAUACAUAUAUCUACACAUCUAUAAGUCUACAUAUCUGAUUAUUUCCCUGUGAUGUAUUCAUGGAAUUUAAAUUACCAUCCAAGGGGUACGGAACUUUUAAAGUUCUUGGUUUGUAUUACCAAAUUGCUGUCAGAAAGGUUUAUGUUUUCUAGUCCCAUCAGUGGAGAAGAAUGCCUGGUUUAUCAUUCCUACAUUCAUUAUCUUUUUCAAUAUUUAUAAAUUUGAUUAGAGUACAUGAGUUUUAGUCUUUUACAUAUUUCUUUAAUCAUUAAUGAGCUCAAACAUCUUAAUAUAUUUCUUAGCAACUUUAUUUCUUCUCUGAAUUAUCUGUUUAUGUUUUUGACCAUUUUAAACAAUGGAAGCGUUAGUAUUUUUCUGUUGAUGUGCUACUCAUGCAUUAUUGAAGGCUUUAAAGGCCAUUUUAAAAUCACCUGCGUAUUUUUUUAUGCCACAUCAUCCAUAGCCACCUUAGAAGAAAGACCAGUCCCAGAGGCAUAGAGCAGUUCCUUCAAAGAUGACCUCAGUUAUUUUGGGUUGUUGAAUAAUUUCUUCCUUGGGUAAAAAUGCACGAGAAAAUGUGCGUGCAGUUUUUUCGUCAGCACACUUACUUUCUAUUAAGUGGAUAUUUUGUGCUGAAACAGAUUCGCAGAUCCACCAAACCAGACGAUGUUGCUGGCAGAAAAAUGUGCACGCUCUGGUGUUUGUGCAAGAAUGAGAAGACCUCUGUGGCGCAGUGGCAGGAGCCUGCAAAUAACGUCCACUGUGGUGGAUUUGGGAUUGUCCAGAAUGUGACUGUGUAAGGCUGGGAUUGGAAGCCCGUUCUGAAUAUGUGCCUGAGUACCACGUCAGUUCAGCCGUGCUGAGCCUGAGCGAGGCGUCCUCCCUCACAAGCUUCCCAGGACCCCUUGGCUGUGCACACAAAGAGAAGCCGGCUUUUCUUGUUUGCGCCUUUGCUCCUUCCUAUUUGAUUGAAUUUGAAGAGGAACUGUUUGCCUUUGGCUGCACAUCCUGAAUCAUAAUCAGGAUGCUGCUGGCACAGAAAACCUGCUCCCACCCUUGCCUGAAAUAACUGAACAGGGAAGUCGAGAUCCUCCCCUCUCCAAACUUAAAGAAAGAGGCUCAUAAUUUAUGGAGUGCUGGCAAAGCAUCAAAAGUCAAUCCAGUCACUUACAGUAAAAUCAAGGAGGGCGGAACAAUGAAUAUAAAGUGAGAUUCAAACACCUCAUUAAGGGAACAAAGUGUCCAGUUGACACCAGAAUACUGAUGCUUACAUAUUUGUAAGCCAGAGUCCAGUGGCCUUCUGAGAGACUUCCUUGUCCGCGGGAUAUGAAAGGUAUAAAGCCACACCCUCAGCUUUUUCAGUCCUUCAACAAAUAUGCUUUGCUGAAACCAUCUAUCAAGCAUGGUGCUACUAAGGUAUAUUGGUUUCUUAGGGCUGCUGACACAAAUUACUAUAAACUUGGUGGCUUAAAGCAACAUAAAUUUAUUCCCUCAUAGUUCCAGAGGCCAGAAGUCUGAAGUCAAGGUGUUGGGAGGGCCAGACUCCCUCUGAAGCCUCUAGAGAACUUGCCUCAUUUCUUCCAGCUUCUGGUGGCUCCAGAUAUUUCUUGGCUUGUGGCUGCAUCACUCCUGUCUCUGCCUCUGGCUUGGCGUGACCUCCUCCUCCCUGAGUGUCUGUCUUCGGUGUGUCUCUGAGAAGGGUACUUGUCAUUGGAUUUAGGGCCCACUUGGACAAUCCAGGCUGAUCUCAUCUGGAGAUCCAUAAUUUAAUUGCAUUUGUGAAGACCCUUUUUCCAAAUAUGAUCACAUUCCUAAGUACUAGGGGUUAGGACUUGGUCAUAUCUUUUUGGGUGCCACCGUUCAAGAUCCAGAGGGUAGAAAGUUGAAAAGGACAGGGUUGUUGUUCUCAAGGAGUUCAGGCUAGUAGGGGAGACAAAUAGUUAAAUAACUAUAUCGAAAGAAUAACCGCAUCCAAAGCUGCGUUCCAGGUGCUGAGGGAUCUUAGAAGAGAUUGUACUGGGAACUGAUGCCGAGGUUGUGGUGGGGCAGAGGUAGGGUGUGUGUUUUUUUUUUAACCUUUGAACUCUACAAUUUCCUGGCAUCUAGAAAUCACUAUAGAACGUCAUCAGGUUGAAAAGACAAGUCCAGUUUGAAUAGUGAGGAUUAACACCGGCCCGGCCAGAUCUGUUGGGUCUGGCUGAGUUCAGCUAACCCUUUUGGUUGCCUCGAGGUUUUGGAGAGUCGGCAGGAAAAGGCGAGAAAGCCGAAGCCCAUGAAUUGGUUGAGAUUUUUGAUGGCUAUAUUUCUGAGAGGUGAAGAGCUGGAUGCCAUGAAAUGGGUCAUUGGCUUUCUCUGUGGCAGAGAAUGGGGAAGAGGACCGCUUGCAUCUGCCAUCCAUCCCAGGUCGGAGCGUGUGUGCCCCUGCAGGGCCACCUCGGGCCAAGGCUGUUGCCCCACUGAGAUCUCCUCCUCUGCUCCAAGGCCUUGGGCCGGAUGUUCUGUCUGAGCCUGGUGUGGUGGGGGAAGGCAGCUACUGCCCCAAGACAUGCUAGAGAGAAGAGACAGAACUGUUACUCACUUCUUUUUUGGGACAGCAUUUUUACAAGCUUUGCAGAACAUCACCUGCAGCUUUUUACAUUCUCCUGGGACUUUACCUUCUUUAUGAUUGUUUAUUAUAUUAAAAAGGUUCUUGAUAAUGGCUAUUAUGGAAUUAUUGUUAAUGUUCUUGUGCGUAAUAUGCUUGUUGUGAAAAAUGUCUUUAUUCCUUUUUUUUUUUAAAGAUUCACCCUGAGCUAACAUCUGUUGCCAGUCUUCCUCUUCUUCUUUUUCCUUCCCCAAAGCCCCAGUGCAUGGUUGUAUAUCCUAGUUGUAAGUUCUGGUUCUUCUAUGUGAGCUGCCGCCACAACAUGGCAACUGUCAGAAGCGUAGUGCGGUUCUGAGACCAGGAAGGGAACCCGGGCCACUGAAGAGGUGAGAGCACUGAACUUUAACCACCAGGCCAUCAGGGCUGGCUCAGACGUCUUUAUUCUUAAGGAGCGCAUGCGGAAGUGUUUAUGGGUGAUAUGUGAUAAUGUCUACAAUUUUCAAACACUUCAGUGACAAUAUGGGCACAUAAACCUAAUAACACAAAAAUGUUAAGAAUUGCUAGGUCUAGGCAGAAAGUAUAUGGAUGUUCAUUGCUCUAUUCUUUCACCUUUUCUCUAUGCUUGAAAUUAUUCAUAAUAAAAAACUUGGGAUAGAUUUGGAGAAGAAAAUUCUUGAAACAGAGUUUGUUGACCUGUGUUUCAUGGGCUCUGGCGGGAGAGGUGGAUGGGUGUCGGGGACCAGGAAGCUUCUAAAUUUACAUGUAAACUUUUGUGCUGUGUGUGUGUAUGUGUGUGUGUGUAUGUGUGUGUGUGUGUGUGUGUUUCUUCCCUCUUUGUGGGGAGGGAUUUAUUGUUUGUGCUUCUCCUCUCAUUCUCAAAUGAGUCUAUGACUGCCCCCCACAAGGUUAAACAUCCUUGCUUAAAGCUUGAGAUAAAUUUGCAUGCAUUAUACUUUUUGUAAAUGGAUGCAAACAGAGGAGCAGAGUCUGUUGCUUAUGUAUCAUUAGUAUUUUGUUGCAAAAUUUAAAUUAGAUUAUAAAACUAAAUUGGAUUCUACUUUCCCAUUAUCUUCAUUACUGGUUUCUUGAUUUUUCUUAAUUAAUUCUUUUCCUAUCAUAGUUGAAUUCUUAUACUCUUUUACAAGUUUAAAAUAUUGGUUGCUAACAUGAACAAAUCUGUUUUCCUUUGCACUAAUUUAAAACUGAAAUAAUAAUUUUGGUAUCCCUUUCUAGGUUGUAAAAAUAACACAGACUCACUGUAUACAACUUGUAAAAUACAGAAGUGUAUAAAGAAGGAAAUAAAAUUACCAUUAACCCGUG